RNAcentral lists this ribosomal RNA (225 nucleotides) under uncultured bacterium. RNAcentral's name for it is "partial 16S ribosomal RNA". It matches the Rfam family "Bacterial small subunit ribosomal RNA", at positions 96 to 334 of the family's 1533-position model. The record is from RNAcentral.
CGGCGUACGGGUGAGUAACACGUGGGUAAUCUACCUCUUAGUGGGGAAUAACUUUGGGAAACCGAAAGCUAAUACCGCAUAAGCUCGAGAGAGGAAAGCAGCAAUGCGCUGAGAGAGGAGCCCGCGGCCGAUUAGCUAGUUGGCAGGGUAAAAGCCUACCAAGGCAUAGAUCGGUAGCCGGCCUGAGAGGGCACACGGCCACACUGGCACUGAAACACGGGCCAG